ACAGGCGGUGGAGCAUGUGGUUUAAUUCGAAGCAACGCGAAGAACCUUACCAGGCCUUGACAUGCAGAGAACUUUCCAGAGAUGGAUUGGUGCCUUCGGGAACUCUGACACAGGUGCUGCAUGGCUGUCGUCAGCUCGUGUCGUGAGAUGUUGGGUUAAGUCCCGUAACGAGCGCAACCCUUGUCCUUAGUUACCAGCACGUUAUGGUGGGCACUCUAAGGAGACUGCCGGUGACAAACCGGAGGAAGGUGGGGAUGACGUCAAGUCACCAUGGCCCUUACGGCCUGGGCUACACACGUGCUACAAUGGUCGGUACAAAGGGUUGCCAAGCCGCGAGGUGGAGCUAAUCCCAUAAAACCGAUCGUAGUCCGGAUCGCAGUCUGCAACUCGACUGCGUGAAGUCGGAAUCGCUAGUAAUCGUGAAUCAGAAUGUCACGGUGAAUACGUUCCCGGGCCUU
RNAcentral lists this ribosomal RNA (458 nucleotides) under uncultured Pseudomonas sp. RNAcentral describes it as "bacterial SSU rRNA". It matches the Rfam family "Bacterial small subunit ribosomal RNA", at positions 925 to 1382 of the family's 1533-position model. Lineage: Bacteria; Pseudomonadati; Pseudomonadota; Gammaproteobacteria; Pseudomonadales; Pseudomonadaceae. The record is from RNAcentral.